This 1400-nucleotide ribosomal RNA is filed under the name uncultured bacterium. Its description in RNAcentral is "16S ribosomal RNA". It matches the Rfam family "Bacterial small subunit ribosomal RNA". The record is from RNAcentral.
AGAGUUUGAUCCUGGCUCAGGAUGAACGCUAGCGACAGGCUUAACACAUGCAAGUCGAGGGGCAGCAGGGGAGUAGCAAUACUCCCGCUGGCGACCGGCGCACGGGUGAGUAACACGUAUGCAACCUGCCCUUGUCAGGGGGAUAAGCGGAAGAAAUUCCGUCUAAUACCGCAUAACGCUGCGGGGAGACAUCUCCCUGCAGCCAAAGAUUUAUCGGACAAGGAUGGGCAUGCGGCGCAUUAGCUGGUUGGCGGGGUAACGGCCCACCAAGGCGACGAUGCGUAGGGGUUCUGAGAGGAAGGUCCCCCACACUGGUACUGAGACACGGACCAGACUCCUACGGGAGGCAGCAGUGAGGAAUAUUGGUCAAUGGCCGGGAGGCUGAACCAGCCAAGUCGCGUGAGGGAAGACGGUCCUAUGGAUUGUAAACCUCUUUUGUCAGGGAGCAAAAACUGCCACGCGUGGCAGGAUGAGAGUACCUGAAGAAAAAGCAUCGGCUAACUCCGUGCCAGCAGCCGCGGUAAUACGGAGGAUGCGAGCGUUAUCCGGAUUUAUUGGGUUUAAAGGGUGCGUAGGCGGACAGUUAAGUCAGCGGUAAAAUUGAGAGGCUCAACCUCUUCCCGCCGUUGAAACUGACUGUCUUGAGUGGGCGAGAAGUAUGCGGAAUGCGUGGUGUAGCGGUGAAAUGCAUAGAUAUCACGCAGAACUCCGAUUGCGAAGGCAGCAUACCGGCGCCCAACUGACGCUGAAGCACGAAAGCGUGGGUAUCGAACAGGAUUAGAUACCCUGGUAGUCCACGCAGUAAACGAUGAAUACUAAUUGUUCGGGUCAAAUGAGAUCUGAGUGAUACAGCGAAAGCGUUAAGUAUUCCACCUGGGGAGUACGCCGGCAACGGUGAAACUCAAAGGAAUUGACGUGGGCCCGCACAAGCGGAGGAACAUGUGGUUUAAUUCGAUGAUACGCGAGGAACCUUACCCGGGUUCAAACGACACAGGAAUGAUCUGAGAAAUCAGACAGUCCUUCGGGACCUGUGUCGAGGUGCUGCAUGGUUGUCGUCAGCUCGUGCCGUGAGGUGUCGGCUUAAGUGCCAUAACGAGCGCAACCCCCAUCGACAGUUGCCAGCAGGUGAAGCUGGGCACUCUGUCGAGACUGCCGGCGCAAGCUGUGAGGAAGGCGGGGAUGACGUCAAAUCAGCACGGCCCUUACGUCCGGGGCGACACACGUGUUACAAUGGCAGGUACAGCGGGAAGCCACCUGGCGACAGGGAGCGGAACCCGAAAGCCUGUCUCAGUUCGGAUUGGAGUCUGCAACUCGACUCCAUGAAGCUGGACUCGCUAGUAAUCGCGCAUCAGCCACGGCGUGGUGAAUACGUUCCCGGGCCUUGCACACACCGCCCGUCA